CUUUCUCCGCCGGCGACCGGCACACGGGUGAGUAACACGUAUGCAACCUGCCCCUGUCAGGGGGACAACCCGCCGAAAGGCGGGGCUAAACCCGCGUACAUGCCACCGGGGCAUCCCGGAGGCAGGAAAGGCUUCGGCCGGACAGGGAUGGGCAUGCGGCGCAUUAGGCAGUAGGCGGGGUAACGGCCCACCUAACCGACGAUGCGUAGGGGUUCUGAGAGGAAGGUCCCCCACACUGGUACUGAGACACGGACCAGACUCCUACGGAAGGCAGCAG
RNAcentral lists this ribosomal RNA (277 nucleotides) under uncultured bacterium. Its description in RNAcentral is "partial 16S ribosomal RNA". It matches the Rfam family "Bacterial small subunit ribosomal RNA", at positions 79 to 354 of the family's 1533-position model. The record is from RNAcentral.